RNAcentral lists this long non-coding RNA (5017 nucleotides) under Mytilus galloprovincialis (Mediterranean mussel). Lineage: Eukaryota; Metazoa; Mollusca; Bivalvia; Mytilida; Mytilidae. The record is from RNAcentral.
CAAACUACAACAAAAGCAAAGCGUUUAAACACUACAAUUAAGUAAUUAAUGAAAUAACAUAUGUAUUAAUUGUCAAAAUAUAAAAAAUAACCAUAAACCUUGAAAAAUAUCAACCAAAACUUUCAUGCACUUCAUAAACAAUCAAUAUGCUAAUCUGAUUUUAAUAUGCAAAUACCAAGAAAGAAGCACAAUCCAUUUGCAAGAAUUUUCAUCCAUUCACAAUCCAUUUGCAAGAAUUUUUAUCUAAUUAAGACAAUUGUCUGCUAACUUUAUCUUAUUUGUAUGAUGUGUUUUUUAUUUUUACAAAUACUGAAUUAUUUUUGUCAGAUUAAAAUUUUCAUCAACUUACCCAUAAAAGUGGAGAAAUUUCAAGUAUUCUAAAAUUCAUUUCCUUAUAUAAUGUUUUCAAUCAUUGAAUCCUAAAUUGAUGACAAAAUUAGAAUUUACGGAAAAAUAUAUGCAAUCUUAACCCAAACCUCAAUUUUAUGUCUUUUUUUUACGUAAAUAUGUAAGGAAACAUUUUUAAAGCAGUUUGCAGACUAUUACUGUAAUCUGAUCUCAUUUAACAAUACCUGGUAUAACAAAAUCAGAUUAACAUAUUAUUCCUUCAGUUUACAACUUUUACAGAUAUAUCUUAAUCUAACCAACAAAUUCAAAAGUUACAGUGAGUGAAAACCUAUCUAAACUGAACCCAUAAGACCCUUCCUAAAUUUCAGGCAAUUUAAAUAUAAUUUUAUUUUUUUAUUGUAGACAAUCUUUGUUUGUUACUUUUUUGUGUAUCAAUGGACUGUCUUAUGAAACAGUUUUUGUUGCAGGUACCUUGCGUGUCCUUAUAUUUGUUUUUCAUAUAAUUUGCCUAUGAGGCAUAGACCAAUUGAUUGUGAAAUUGAAAAUCUUUUCCAAUUGAUAUGUUUCUAGGAAAGUCCAUUCUGCAGAUUGUUAAUAUUUCACACAUUAAAGGGUUCUGUUUGAAUAGGUUAAGACAAACAACUGAUACAUAUAUGUACAGAUCUACAUUCCCUAAAUUAAUUGAACUUUUUGGUUUCUAAAAGGCAUCAAAGGUAUUUGAAAAAAAAACCACCAAAAUUAUGUAGGAAUGUAAUCAAAUGGCACAGUUUAAAAACACCAAUUAAAUAUAUUCUAUAAAAGACAAUUAUAACAAUAUACACCGGAUUUCUAUUAUAUUUUAUAUAAAUGCACCAAGUAAUCAUGUUACAUCCAUCCCCAAACUAACUUGGCCGAUGGAUAAAAGUUUAAUCUAAAUUUACAUCUGUUAUCUUCAGAUGAGAAAAAGAAGAUUGGCAAGAACUUUAAUAAAAAAAACAAGAAAUAACAAUAACAUAAAAAUAAAAUACUUUAUAGUGAGUAUCACUUAAAAAAUUGCUUAUUUAAAUUUGUUGCGUAGUUUUUAUCUGAGAACAAAAAAAAACUUAAAAACAAAUAAUAAAAAAUAAUAAAACCAUCAAAUAUAAGAUUUAAACAUUUUUACAAAAGUGUUGCGUAGCAGUUAUCUGAGCACUCAAACAGCUUAAAAAAUGUCAAAACAAACGCCUUUUUAGUUUCAGUGAACAAAAAAGCUUUUUAAUAAUGAUGAGUUGUCUUCAAAGAAGGAGUUGGGGGUAGUUCAAAAUUUAUUUCUGUAGAUCUCCAGACUUGAUGUGCAUGGCUUCAAUUAUAACUUUGUUGAGACAAAUUUGAAAAAAAAUAUGAAAGGUAGGGGAAUAGAUUUGGUUUAAUAAUGUGUAUGUCAAAUAUUUGAGGAUUUACUGAGUCUUAAAUUUGAGAUGUUAUUUGACCGACACUCUGAAGGUGUUGUUUUAAAAUAACAAAAGAAGACCUAAAAAGUAGUUAGAACUUUCAACUUUACAUCAAUAUCUUGGAAAAAUUUCUAUCAAUAAAUAAUAUAUCCUUUUUUUUUUAAAUUGUCAAAUUUGUUUUGCAAAUUUGCUAUCUUUCACUUGAAUCUAACAAGUUUUAAAACAUUACCUUGAAAUAGAUUUGUCAUCCAAAUCUUUUAUGUCAGCCAGAAUGAUUUUCAAAGAAAGUAUUCAAAUGCAAAAUAUGGUUCCUAUAACAGGUAUAUUGAAACGUUUUUUUGCCAAUUGUCUGGAAAUGAAUAAUCAAUUAUUAUGACAUGUGUAGUACUUACAGUAUAAGACCCAUAUUGUGAGCCUGUCCAGUUAUAUAUUAGCCUUUAUCUAUUCUAAUUUCAGGCCAUGCACAAAAAGUCCAAAUAUUCCCCUAUAUAUUUUGCACACUUGUCUUACACUGAUCCAAUAUAACUCAAAAUAUCUUUACAUUUUGUCAACUAACACAUUUAUAUUAAUUAAAUUAAGAUCAAACAUGUAUUAUAUAAAUAAAAAAAAUGUAAAUGUACAAAAAUUGAAACUUACGAGACAAAAGAAAGUGCCAAAUAUCUAAUUUCAUGACAAUAAAUUAUUAACUAUUUUCCAAAAUUUUUGUUUUGUACUUUGUAAAUCAUCAUUAAUAUAACAUUCAUGUGCAAUAUUUCAAUUUACUUUUAUUUAUAAAAAAAAGAAUAACCUGCAACUUUUCUUCUGCCUCUAAUAUUAGUCAACGUUUAGCAAUAUUUCUUUGAAUAAUACCAAUAAUGUACAAGCUGAGACCAACAAUGCUAUUCAUGAGUAUAUUAACAGCUAAUGAUGCUGAUUUUACAUUUACAAAGCCAUUUUUCUGAUGACUGCUUCUGCAUAUAUGUUUAUAUACUUAAGUGUGUGUGCAUAUUCUAUAUUUUAGAUUUAAUUUGUUUUGAGACUGUAUGACCAAGCAAAGUGAAAGACAAAAUAUUUUUAAAAAUGCAUCCUUAGUCCUGUUAUUUUUUUAAAAGGUAUGCUUGUUUUAUAUUUAUAUAAAUCAAUUUAUUAACCAUGUUAAAGGUGCACACAUCACUUCUGAUUACACAUUUGAUCCAACAUACUUUUAUAACUACUGUUUAUAGAUAUAAAAUAUUUUGAUAUUGAUAUAUAUUUUGUAUACAUAAAUAUUGAUAAUGAACAUUAUUACGGCACGUAUACUAACAUUUCUGCAGCAAAAAAAGCAAAAUUUUCUAAAAUCUAAAUUGUGAAAAAACCAUGUAAUACAACAAUAUAUCAUCAUUAAAUCUUUAAUCUUUAUCUUCAAGCUCUAACAAUUAACAAUCUGAUAAAUAUAUACAAACUAGAGGCUCCUAGGAGUCUGAAUUGCUCAUAUGACAUUGAUAUUUAUUUUAAAAUAUAUAACUUUCAGAGUUCCUCAUUGAGAUAACAUAAGCAACCUACAGAAUUAUUUGUAGAUAACAGUUUGCAUUUCACAGUUUCUUUUUGUCGGUUAUUAUUUUCAAGAAAAUAUCUGAGAACACUCUAGUUUUCUGAUAAUAUUUCAACAAAUUGACAGUAAAACACAAUACAUUUGAUUAUAUUUUUUUUUUACAGUUUUCGGUAGAUAUUAACUUUUCUUUUCUUUUAAAUUUUAUCAUGUUACUACAGCAAAAAGUUUAAAAUGGUCCAACAUUGUCUUUUAUGGACAUGUUAACACCUAUAAAGGGAACGUUAAUAGUUCAGGCCUACUUGUAUUUAUGAGGUUUUGUAUUAAUUGGCAAUCAUUUUUGCAGCCUUAGAUUUUGUCUAUCUGUCAUACUUUCAAGAUAGAUGUGUAAAUGUUGUAUCAGGAAAAAACAAUAAGGGCAAUAACUCUUAUGAGUGGAAAAUUGAAGGCAACAAAACUAUAAAAUUGGACAAUAAUUGGUGUUUGAAGGAAUUCCUUCCUUUUGGUUGUUGAUUGAUGGUUUAAAUUACAUCAGCAUGUCUAUACAUAUUUUUUUACUGAUUAUUUUGUUCAUAACUUUCAUUUAAGCCAAACAUGCUAUAUUUAGCCAUAGAGGCCAUGUUAAAUUGAUAAGGAGGUUUUGGACAAAAAAUAUAGAUUUUUACACUUUAUGAAUUAUGCAGACCAAGUUUGAUUCCAAUUGGCCUUUUCAAAUAUCUUGUGUAUUCUGGGUAAUUUUUUCAAACACUUACACCAAAUGUUGUGAUUGCUUUAAAACAUCAUUUACAAAGAAAACAAAGAUAUAACCUGUUGUCCUUGAGAUUUUAAAACCAACAUGCCAAAUGGUUUGAGAUGAAUCGAUUUGUAAAUCAACAUAUGCCAAGUGAUACACCACAGGUAAAAAAAAAAAAAAAUAUAAAAGGUUUUUUUUAACUGCAAGAAUGCAAAUACUGAACAAAACUUAUAAAAAUAAAAUACAUAAUAUUAAUUAAAACUAACUCAUUAUAACAGUCUUAUAAAAGGACAAAUUAGUUAUGUACAACACUUUAUACAUUUUAUUCCCACACAGAACUUCUAAAAAUUGCUCAUGUCACAAUUACAAUGAAUACUAUAUAAAGAUGUGGGGUGAUUGUCAAAAUAGUAUAUUCACCAAAAAAAAUAAAUGAAAGUGAUAUCCAUAUUUAUGUUCCUUCAAUUACAUAGGUAGUUGUUAUUGGAGAUUAUUUCAGUAUCCUAAGGCUGACACUAAGGACCCUGUUGUUAGUCCUGAACUUUUAACUUUAUGGCUGAGGAUUUUUAAGAGACACUAAAAACUUUAUUGUCCUUGUGACUUAGACCUGAAUUUUUCAGUUCAAAGUUCCAAACUUUUCAGCACUUACCCUGGUGAGAACAUGGAUAUGAAUAUUGAACUUUGGAUAUUUUGAUUAUAUCUAAAUAUUUCAUGACAUUUUUUUUUUAUUUAAUUUCCUCCAAUUAUUUUGUUUGUCUACAGUUAAAAUAAUUCUUUCAUUCCUUUCUUUUAUAGUUUACCAUAUAUGGCCUAAAAAUUUAUUUUUGAAUAUUUUAUGACAUAUGUAGCCAUUAUGUUUAAUAUUAGACUUUGUCUUGAUAUUAAAUCAAACAUGAUUAUCUCAAAAAAGUGUUCACACCCUUCACUCUGUUUUAUAUUUAGAUGAUUUAGAUCUAUAUAAAUCAAAUGUCAUAGACUAAAUUUGAAGAAAAAAAAAUAAUAGAUCCAUGAACAUAUUAUGUG